GGAUGUGAGGGUGAUAUGCCUGCAAAAUGCCACAUUGAUCAUCAGGGUUGGCUGACUGAUCUGGUUACCUGUGAGAGUGCCCCUGCCUUCUCUCAUUGGUCCAUUGCUGUCUUUCCUGAAGCCGCAUGACCUAAUACAAGAAGACCAUUCUUUGGUCAAUUGUAUAUGAAUACUGAAUUUCCCUGCUAAAAUAUCGUAACAAGUUCUCAAAAUGUUUUAAAGAUACCAGGAGGUGAGAAACACCUUACCUAUAAAGAGCAGAAAUAGUAAUUGCAUCUACUUUC
Molecule: small nuclear RNA, 284 nt
Filed under: Microtus ochrogaster (prairie vole)
Lineage: Eukaryota; Metazoa; Chordata; Mammalia; Rodentia; Cricetidae
Description: 7SK RNA (ENSMOCG00000005893.1)
Rfam family: 7SK RNA
About the family: 7SK was discovered as an abundant small nuclear RNA in the mid-70s but a possible function has only recently been suggested.
Source: RNAcentral